This 1159-nucleotide ribosomal RNA is filed under the name Escherichia coli. RNAcentral's name for it is "partial 23S ribosomal RNA". It matches the Rfam family "Bacterial large subunit ribosomal RNA", at positions 1 to 1193 of the family's 2925-position model. The record is from RNAcentral. Lineage: Bacteria; Pseudomonadati; Pseudomonadota; Gammaproteobacteria; Enterobacterales; Enterobacteriaceae.
GGGUUGUGAGGUUAAGCGACUAAGCGUACACGGUGGAUGCCCUGGCAGUCAGAGGCGAUGAAGGACGUGCUAAUCUGCGAUAAGCGUCGGUGAGGUGAUAUGAACCGUUAUAACCGGCGAUUUCCGAAUGGGGAAACCCAGUGUGUUUCGACACACUAUCAUUAACUGAAUCCAUAGGUUAAUGAGGCGAACCGGGGGAACUGAAACAUCUAAGUACCCCGAGGAAAAGAAAUCAACCGAGAUUCCCCCAGUAGCGGCGAGCGAACGGGGAGGAGCCCAGAGCCUGAAUCAGUGUGUGUGUUAGUGGAAGCGUCUGGAAAGGCGCGCGAUACAGGGUGACAGCCCCGUACACAAAAAUGCACAUAUUGUGAGCUCGAUGAGUAGGGCGGGACACGUGGUAUCCUGUCUGAAUAUGGGGGGACCAUCCUCCAAGGCUAAAUACUCCUGACUGACCGAUAGUGAACCAGUACCGUGAGGGAAAGGCGAAAAGAACCCCGGCGAGGGGAGUGAAAAAGAACCUGAAACCGUGUACGUACAAGCAGUGGGAGCCUCUUUAUGGGGUGACUGCGUACCUUUUGUAUAAUGGGUCAGCGACUUAUAUUCUGUAGCAAGGUUAACCGAAUAGGGGAGCCGAAGGGAAACCGAGUCUUAACUGGGCGUUAAGUUGCAGGGUAUAGACCCGAAACCCGGUGAUCUAGCCAUGGGCAGGUUGAAGGUUGGGUAACACUAACUGGAGGACCGAACCGACUAAUGUUGAAAAAUUAGCGGAUGACUUGUGGCUGGGGGUGAAAGGCCAAUCAAACCGGGAGAUAGCUGGUUCUCCCCGAAAGCUAUUUAGGUAGCGCCUCGUGAAUUCAUCUCCGGGGGUAGAGCACUGUUUCGGCAAGGGGGUCAUCCCGACUUACCAACCCGAUGCAAACUGCGAAUACCGGAGAAUGUUAUCACGGGAGACACACGGCGGGUGCUAACGUCCGUCGUGAAGAGGGAAACAACCCAGACCGCCAGCUAAGGUCCCAAAGUCAUGGUUAAGUGGGAAACGAUGUGGGAAGGCCCAGACAGCCAGGAUGUUGGCUUAGAAGCAGCCAUCAUUUAAAGAAAGCGUAAUAGCUCACUGGUCGAGUCGGCCUGCGCGGAAGAUGUAACGGGGCUAAACCAUGCA